GAUCUCUUUGAGGCCCGUUAUCGGAAUGAGAACAAUUCAAAUCCUUUAACGAGGAUCUAGCGGAGGGCAAGUCUGGUGCCAGCAGCCGCGGUAAUUCCAGCUCCGCAGGUGUAUAUCUAUGCUGCUGCGGUUAAAAAGCUCGUAGUUGGAUCUGCGUGCUCGGAACUGGUUGGCUCACUGAGUUCAAACUGGUCUCCGGCGCUUUAUUGGCUGGUUUUCCCUUGAUGCUCUUAACCGGGUGUCUUGGGUGGCUGGCACGUUUACUUUGAAAAAAUUAGAGUGCUCAAUACAGGCGUAAAGCCUUGAAUAGUGUUGCAUGGAAUAAUAGAAUAGGACCUCGGCUCUAUUUUGUUGGUUUUCGGAACGCGAGGUAAUGAUUAAGAGGGACAGACGGGGGCAUUCGUAUUGCGACGUUAGAGGUGAAAUUCUUGGAUCGUCGCAAGACGGACGACUGCGAAAGCAUUUGCCAAGAAUGUUUUCAUUAAUCAAGAACGAAAGUUAGAGGUUCGAAGGCGAUCAGAUACCGCCCUAGUUCUAACCGUAAACGAUGCCAACUAGCGAUUCGCAGGCGUUAAACAACGACCUUGCGGGCAGCUUCCCGGAAACGAAAGUGUUCGGGUUCCGGGGGAAGUAUGGUUGCAAAGCUGAAACUUAAAGGAAUUGACGGAAGGGCACCACCAGGAGUGGAGCCUGCGGCUUAAUUUGACCCAACACGGGAAAACUCACCCGGCCCGGACACCGUAAGGAUUGACAGAUUGAGAGCUCUUUCUUGAUUCGGUGGGUGGUGGUGCAUGGCCGUUCUUAGUUGGUGGAGCGAUUUGUCUGGUUUAUUCCGAUAACGAACGAGACUCUGGCCUACUAAAUAGUGGGCGGAUUCUUUCUGUCCGCAACACUUCUUAGAGGGACAAGCGGUGUUCAGCCGCACGAGAUUGAGCAAUAACAGGUCUGUGAUGCCCUUAGAUGUCCGGGGCUGCACGCGCGCUACACUGAAGGAAUCAGCGUGCUUUCUGACCUUGCCCGAAAGGGCUGGGUAACCCGAUGAAAAUCCUUCGUGAUUGGGAUAGGGACUUGCAAUUAUUUCCCUUGAACGAGGAAUUCCCAGUAAGUGUGGGUCAUAAGCUCGCGUUGAUUACGUCCCUGCCCUUUGUACACACCGCCCGUCGCUGCCCGGAACUGAGCCGUUUCGAGAAGAACAGAGACCGUCGUUGAAGGGCCUUAACGGGCUUUUCUCUGAUAGAAACUGUU
Molecule: ribosomal RNA, 1245 nt
Filed under: metagenome
Description: SSU rRNA
Rfam family: Eukaryotic small subunit ribosomal RNA
Source: RNAcentral